UGCAGUCGAGCGGAACGAUCCUAGCUUGCUAGGAGGCGUCGAGCGGCGGACGGGUGAGUAAUGCAUAGGAAUCUGCCCGGUAGUGGGGGAUAACUUGAGGAAACUCAAGCUAAUACCGCAUACGCCCUACGGGGGAAAGCAGGGGCUCUUCGGACCUUGCGCUAUCGGAUGAGCUUAUGUCGGAUUAGCUGGUUGGUGAGGUAACGGCUCACCAAGGCGACGAUCCGUAGCUGGUCUGAGAGGAUGAUCAGCCACAUCGGGACUGAGACACGGCCCGAACUCCUACGGGAGGCAGCAGUGGGGAAUAUUGGACAAUGGGGGCAACCCUGAUCCAGCCAUGCCGCGUGUGUGAAGAAGGCCCUCGGGUUGUAAAGCACUUUCAGCGAGGAAGAAUGCUUGUCGGUUAAUACCCGGCAAGGGAGACAUCACUCGCAGAAGAAGCACCGGCUAACUCCGUGCCAGCAGCCGCGGUAAUACGGAGGGUGCGAGCGUUAAUCGGAAUUACUGGGCGUAAAGCGUGCGUAGGCGGCUUGAUAAGCCGGUUGUGAAAGCCCCGGGCUCAACCUGGGAACGGCAUCCGGAACUGUUAGGCUAGAGUGCAGGAGAGGAAGGUAGAAUUCCCGGUGUAGCGGUGAAAUGCGUAGAGAUCGGGAGGAAUACCAGUGGCGAAGGCGGCCUUCUGGACUGACACUGACGCUNAGGUACGAAAGCGUGGGUAGCAAACAGGAUUAGAUACCCUGGUAGUCCACGCCGUACACGAUCUCGACUAGCCNUUGGGGUCCUCGAGACCUUUGUGGCGCAGUUAACGCACUAAGUCGACCGCCUGGGGAGUACGGCCGCAAGGUUAAAACUCAAAUGAAUUGACGGGGGCCCGCACAAGCGGUGGAGCAUGUGGUUUAAUUCGAUGCAACGCGAAGAACCUUACCUACCCUUGACUUCGUGCGAACUUUCCAGAGAUGGAUUGGUGCCUUCGGGAGCGCACAGACCGGUUCUGCAUGGCUGUCGUCACCUCC
RNAcentral lists this ribosomal RNA (1013 nucleotides) under Halomonas elongata. Its description in RNAcentral is "bacterial SSU rRNA". It matches the Rfam family "Bacterial small subunit ribosomal RNA", at positions 56 to 1062 of the family's 1533-position model. The record is from RNAcentral. Lineage: Bacteria; Pseudomonadati; Pseudomonadota; Gammaproteobacteria; Oceanospirillales; Halomonadaceae.